CCGUUGGGGCUCCGGCCCCAAUCAAGAUACCACCCCUUGCAUUUUGAGCACCUUCUGUUUCCUCGGCGGGCCCGCCCGCCAACGGGGACCACACCAAACCCUUCUGUACUGCAGUAAGCGUCUGAAAACAAACAAAAAUCA
This 141-nucleotide unclassified non-coding RNA is filed under the name uncultured fungus. Its description in RNAcentral is "sequence contains ITS1, 5.8S rRNA gene". The record is from RNAcentral. Lineage: Eukaryota; Fungi.